RNAcentral lists this signal recognition particle RNA (330 nucleotides) under Carlito syrichta (Philippine tarsier). Its description in RNAcentral is "Metazoan signal recognition particle RNA (ENSTSYG00000031849.1)". It matches the Rfam family "Metazoan signal recognition particle RNA". Rfam says of the family: The signal recognition particle (SRP) is a universally conserved ribonucleoprotein. The record is from Rfam by way of RNAcentral. Lineage: Eukaryota; Metazoa; Chordata; Mammalia; Primates; Tarsiidae.
UCCAGGUGGCCACCACACCCAUAGUCCCAGCUACUCAGGAGGUUGAGAUGGGAGGAUCACUUGAGCCCAGGAAUUCAGGGUUGUCAUGGGAUAUGCCUAUCAGGUGUCUGCACUAAGUUUGGCAUCAGUAUGGUAACCUCAGUAUGGUAAACUUCCAGGAGUGGGAGGACCACCAGGUUGUCUAAGGAGGGGUGAACCAGCCCAGGUUGAAAAUAGCAGGAGGGGUGAACCAGCCCAGGUUGAAAACUCCCAUGCUGAUCAUUAAUGGGAUCAGUACUGUGAAUAGCCACUGUACUCCACUCUGGGCAACAUAGUGAAAACUUGUCUUAU